Molecule: ribosomal RNA, 801 nt
Filed under: uncultured bacterium
Lineage: Bacteria
Description: bacterial SSU rRNA
Rfam family: Bacterial small subunit ribosomal RNA
Source: RNAcentral
AGAGUUUGAUCAUGGCUCAGAACGAACGCUGGCGGCGUGGAUAAGACAUGCAAGUUGAACGCGAUAUUCCGGGUAGCAAUAUUCGGAGUGUUGAGUAGCGCAAGGGUGCGUAACACGUGGGAAUCUGCCCUGAAGUUGGGGAUAACUCGCUGAAAGGCGAGCUAAUACCGAAUGUGACCGCAAGGUCAAAGCUGGGGAUCCGUAAGGACCUGGCGCUUCUGGAUGAGCCCGCGGCCUAUCAGCUCGUUGGCGGGGUAAAAGCCCACCAAGGCGAAGACGGGUAGCUGGUCUGAGAGGACGACCAGCCACACUGGAACUGAGACACGGUCCAGACACCUACGGGUGGCAGCAGUCGAGAAUUUUUCUCAACGGGCGCAAGCCUGAAGGAGCGACGCCGCGUGGGGGAUGAAGGGUUUCGAUCCGUAAACCCCUGUCAUUUGUGAACAAUGGUUAUCGUUUAAGAGAUGAUGACUUGACAGUAAUGAAAGAGGAAGGGACGGCUAACUCUGUGCCAGCAGCCGCGGUAAUACAGAGGUCCCGAGCGUUGUUCGGAUUCACUGGGCGUAAAGGGUGCGUAGGUGGCUACUGAAAGUUUGAUGUGAAAUCUCCGGGCUCAACCCGGAAAAGGCAUUGAAUACUGCGGAGCUGGAGGUUUGGAGGGGGGACUGGAAUUCUCGGUGUAGCAGUGAAAUGCGUAGAUAUCGAGAGGAACACCAGUGGCGAAGGCGAGUCCCUGGACAACACCUGACACUGAGGCACGAAAGCCGGGGGAGCAAACAGGAUUAGAUACCCUAGUAGUCC